Molecule: small nucleolar RNA, 130 nt
Organism: Bison bison bison
Lineage: Eukaryota; Metazoa; Chordata; Mammalia; Artiodactyla; Bovidae
Source: Ensembl
GUGCACAUUUCAUUGUCUUUUUUCUUUGUGUCAAGAGAAAAGAUAUUUCUGAUGUGCUAAAUAAACCUUUGGAGGUAAAUUAGCAGCAUGACUUAAUUUAGCCAUUGCUGUCAGUCACCUUCACACAAGA